AGGUUCAAUUCCUAUCUCUCUAA
This 23-nucleotide transfer RNA is filed under the name Dryophytes andersonii (pine barrens treefrog). RNAcentral describes it as "partial tRNA-Gln". The record is from RNAcentral. Lineage: Eukaryota; Metazoa; Chordata; Amphibia; Anura; Hylidae.